Molecule: ribosomal RNA, 482 nt
Filed under: uncultured soil bacterium
Lineage: Bacteria
Description: bacterial SSU rRNA
Rfam family: Bacterial small subunit ribosomal RNA
Source: RNAcentral
AGGACGAACGCUGGCGGCGUGCUUAACACAUGCAAGUCGAGCGGAAAGGCCAUUUCGGUGGUACUCGAGCGGCGAACGGGUGAGUAACACGUGAGUAAUCUGCCCCUGGCUUUGGGAUAGCCACCGGAAACGGUGAUUAAUACCGGAUACGACCCGCCCUCGCAUGGGGGUGUGUGGAAAGUUUUUCGGCCAGGGAUGUGCUCGCGGCCUAUCAGCUUGAUGGUGGGGUAAUGGCUCACCAUGGCUUCGACGGGUAGCCGGCCUGAGAGGGUGACCGGUCACACUGGGACUGAGACACGGCCCAGACUCCUACGGGAGGCAGCAGUGGGGAAUAUUGGACAAUGGGCGGAAGCCUGAUCCAGCAACGCCGCGUGAGGGAUGACGGCCUUGGGUUGUAAGUCCUCUUCACGUACGACGAAGACGAAGUGACGGUAGGUACAGAAGAAGCACCGACAACUACGUGCCAGCAGCCGACGAUAACU